GAUGAACGCUGGCGGCGUGCCUAAUACAUGCAAGUCGAGCGAACAGACGAGGAGCUUGCUCCUCUGACGUUAGCGGCGGACGGGUGAGUAACACGUCGAUAACCUACCUAUAAGACUGGGAUAACUUCGGGAAACCGGAGCUAAUACCGGAUAAUAUAUUGAACCGCAUGGUUCAAUAGUGAAAGACGGUUUUGCUGUCACUUAUAGAUGGAUCCGCGCCGCAUUAGCUAGUUGGUAAGGUAACGGCUUACCAAGGCAACGAUGCGUAGCCGACCUGAGAGGGUGAUCGGCCACACUGGAACUGAGACACGGUCCAGACGCCUACGGGAGGCAGAAGUAGGGAAUCUUCCGCAAUGGGCGAAAGCGUGACGGAGCAACGCCGCGUGAGUGAUGAAGGUCUUCGGAUCGUAAAACUCUGUUAUUAGGGAAGAACAAAUGUGUAAGUAACUAUGCACGUCUUGACGGUACCUAAUCAGAAAGCCACGGCUAACUACGUG
This 497-nucleotide ribosomal RNA is filed under the name uncultured bacterium. RNAcentral's name for it is "partial 16S ribosomal RNA". It matches the Rfam family "Bacterial small subunit ribosomal RNA", at positions 28 to 507 of the family's 1533-position model. The record is from RNAcentral.